AGUGUAGGCGGUUUCCUAAGUCAGGUGUGAAAGCCCCGGGCUCAACCCGGGAAGUGCACUUGAAACUGGGAGGCUAGAGUAUCGGAGAGGUUGGUGGAAUUCUCGGUGUAGAGGUGAAAUUCGUAGAUAUCGAGAGGAACACCGGUGGCGAAGGCGGCCAACUGGACGAAUACUGACGCUGAGACUCGAAAGCGUGGGGAGCAAACA
RNAcentral lists this ribosomal RNA (207 nucleotides) under uncultured bacterium. Its description in RNAcentral is "partial 16S ribosomal RNA". It matches the Rfam family "Bacterial small subunit ribosomal RNA", at positions 568 to 774 of the family's 1533-position model. The record is from RNAcentral.